CACUGAUUCACAAGGGGGUGGGCCUUGGACGGCGUAUAUGAUUGAAGACAAAUGAGAUGUUAAACCAUUUGGAGACAACGGUGGUGGAGAUGUAGCCGUGUUGGCGGACAGCCCCAACUCCCCUACUUGGUGAGGGGAGGACAGGGGCUGGGGAUGUGGAGGACAACCGUACGACGAAAUGCAAGGAAAGAAACAAGCGGACCCGUUAGAUUAGAAAAUGGACGGGGCCAGUGGGACGUCACGAUGCGCCGUCGCCACAAAGCUCAAUACGCUGCUCAUAAACGCGCUCAUUUGGCUCCCAGCAUGCACGUCCGGAGGGACCGCUGGUUACCAGGAGCUCACCCAAGCUCAGUGCAACCCACCCUGCUGCAUCUGAGGAGGAAACAAAACUUUUGAAAGCACCAUCAAAAGUGAAGAUGAGGGCUUCCCCCAACUUCCAGGUGUUUAGGGGGUUGUGUGUGUGUGUGUGUGUGUGUGUGUGUGUGUGUGUGUGUGUGUGUGUGUGUGUGUGUGUUGCUGGCGGAGAGCUGUGUUUGCAGGCCUGAGGGGUUGUCUGUUAUCUUUGGUUAUCUAGCUGUAUGAGUGACGUACAUUCUUCAUAAAGCUACAUAACCGAAAGUAACAAGAAUCCCAUUACACGCCUGCACGGUGGAAGACAACUAAGUUAAAAAAAACACACAAAUAGAACCAGGAAUGGGCUCAGACGAUGGACUACAGUACAGGACAAUGACAUGAAGGUUUCUGAUCAGUCUGCAGUUGGGAAUCAUCAGAUCUUUGCCUCUCAGACUCUUUUGGAUUGUGACUUGAGUCUACUGAUGUUUGUUGCACACAGGACUACAUCAUUAACCGUGAAAAUACUGGAGGAAACACACAGAUUUUGUGAAAGCAGCCGGACAGUGGGCAGAGUUCAAAUGGUCAGGUCUUAAAACUGGUAAUAGAUACAAAAGUAACUGUUUUCAGCUGCAGCAGCAGAACAUCUGUUUCUGAAUGAAGACAGAAACAAACAAGACAGAAGAUUAAAACAAGUGGACAAACUGACAUUUGGCCAUCAUGAGGCUGGAACUGAGAGAGUAGAGUGCAACAAAGUGAUCUGUGUGUGUGUGUGUGUGUGUGUGUGUGUGUGUUUUCUCGGAAACUGCUCUGCACAGCUGUUUAGGAAACAAAAAUUCAGUCAUUAGAGAUUCAAAGUAAUUUUAAAAGGUUUAGAAGACGAUAAAAAAUACUUGCAGUUUUGAAUUUUGAAUUUUUACUAUUAUUCAUUAGUUUAACAACUUAUUCUCCUUUAGAUGGGAAUUUUAUCUUAGAUCUUAAAUCCUAAAUUUUACAUUAAUUUUUCUCACUUAUCUUUUGAAUCCUAUUCAUAUGUAAUUAUUACAGCUAGCAAUUAAAUGUGUAUCUUUAUCUCAUGUAAAACUUUGGAUGUUUCAAUCAAAUUGUUGACAAUCUGUGGAAAUUGUUCUUCUGGUGCAAUGUCAGAAAUUUUAUGGACUUGAUCCAUCAACUAUGAAUUGUUUUUCAAUCGUUCAGAUGAUUUGACCAUUUUCAUGGACAGGUGCAGUAUAUGUUUCACAUUUCAUCUCAUACCUAGAUAUUAGAGUGUUUAGUAAUUCUAUUCAAGGACUGUAUAACCUAAAAUGCUAAACAAUUAUUAUGUUAUUUUGCUCCUGCUACAGCCACCUAUCAUGUACAUCACAUUUUAUCUUUUUGAUUUUGUGUAUACAUCUUAAUUAAAUUGUAUUUUUUAUUUUUAGUUCAUACAUUUGAUUAAGAGCAACCAUCACUGCAUGAAGCAUUUUGUGCAAAACCACAAUAUAUUUGUUUUAUUUUUAACUAUGCAAAAGAAACAGGUUGGGGUUUUUGUUAAGUUUGCACUAUUUGCAUUUGUGUUUGCACAUGACUUGUAUUGUUAAGUUUGCACGUCACUGGCUAAAUACGGGUUCAGUUUGUGUGAGAGAAUUGUGAUGUUUUAUUAUCAUGCACUAUAUGAGCACAGGUGCAAUGUGUGUACUAUUGUUGAAGUGUAUUUUUAGUAGGUUUGAUUAGAAACAGUGAUAACCAGUAAUUGUCAAUCUCAGUGACUAAAAUUUGGAUUCAUUACACAUUUUAUUUGUUAAAUCAGCUCUUCUGACAAUCUAAUAUGAAUACUUGAAAACAUAGGAUUGUGUUUUGAUGAACUAUGGGGAAUGUGAAUAUGUGCAAUAGAUUUUAUGCAGUUUUUAAUACUAUUCAGUGAGAAAAAUGAUUAUAUUAGAAUGCACUAUGAACUACUGUUUCAGGGGUCGUAUAAGCAGGAUGUACACAUAAGAUGCUGUAAAUGUGCUUGAUAUCUGUACUAUGCAAUCGUUUCUACUGAAGUUAAUUUGAAAUCAAUAAAAGUAUGAAUGUUUACAAUGAGAAAAUAA
Molecule: long non-coding RNA, 2402 nt
Organism: Etheostoma spectabile (orangethroat darter)
Lineage: Eukaryota; Metazoa; Chordata; Actinopteri; Perciformes; Percidae
Exons: 4
Source: RefSeq, a predicted model, not a curated record